CCCUGCCAUUUGUACACACCGCCCGUCGCUCCUACCGAUUGAGUGUGUUGGUGAGGAGUUCGGAUUGGCGUCAGAGAGUGGUUUUUCGCUGUCUGAGACUGAGAAGUUCUCCGAAACCCCCCACUUAGAGGAAGGAGAAGUCGUAAUAAG
Molecule: ribosomal RNA, 150 nt
Filed under: uncultured eukaryote
Lineage: Eukaryota
Description: partial small subunit ribosomal RNA
Rfam family: Eukaryotic small subunit ribosomal RNA
Source: RNAcentral